Molecule: long non-coding RNA, 1936 nt
Organism: Oryzias melastigma (Indian medaka)
Lineage: Eukaryota; Metazoa; Chordata; Actinopteri; Beloniformes; Adrianichthyidae
Exons: 4
Source: RefSeq, a predicted model, not a curated record
ACUCAUUGCAGCCAAUAGGGUCGUUACAGGGAUAAAAGCUUUCAUGUAAGCUAGCAUCCAUUAAGCUUCGCAAACGUGGGAGAAGACAAAAGACAAAAUGAUCAGAGUUUGAUACAUUUUUUUUCUUUUACGCUGUGGUGAAGUUAGGUUUUUGCUUUUCCACCUGUCUUGUCUGGAAAAACAUUUUUUUACGGAGCGGGACUUGAAACUCAAAACCCUCCAGAGUAACAAGAGACAAGGCGACCAGGAAUCAAACCGAUUUGUUGCCAUGGCGCAAAUAUCAGAGACGUCCGUGCCAUCGCCACGGUGAUGGGCUGGAGCUGGUCAGAUGUGAAGGGAAGAGCAGCUGUGCGGUAUCUGCGCCUGAUGUCAGGAGCGGGCCUUGAAACAGAAGUGGGCUGACUCAGUCACUGACGCCGCCGACGCUGACAUCCAAACAAAGAGGCAGAGGAAAUAAGCCAUGGCGUGGAAUCAACAAACAGCUGUCAGCCGUCGCUGCGUUACACUGAUGGGCGCCACGCAGCUUAAACGGGAGAGGACAGAUGGACACGCUCCGUUUGGGUGACGGACUGCACAGCCCUGGGAAAGAAACUGACAAAAACCAGUUCCAGAUGACCAGAGAAGUCUGGCUGGUACAUCCUGGGUCAGGAGGUCAAGCAUAUAUUGAGGUUUCUAAAGCAUUCAAAGCUUUUUAAACCAGCAACACAAUCGUAAAGUCUACCCUCUGGCUGACAGGCAGCCGUUGUAGAGACCUGAGAACUGGACCCAUGGGGUCUAGAGACCAAGGACAGGAGAGAAGCAGCACAAGAAUCUUGCAGUACGUCUCCAAAUGUAGCUGAAGAUGGUGAGUGGCGUCCUUUUGUCUUUCUGGAGGUAGAAGAUGCGGUGGGAGGUAGCAGGUCCUGUGGCUUGAGUUAUUGUGGAGCUGAAGGACGAAGCGUGAGGUCUGGAGACGGUUUGCUGUCGGCACUCGAAAUGGAAGAAUUCUGAAAAUAAGAAACGGUUCAGGAGCUGUAAACUUGAGGAACAACUUUGAGCUAAGCAUGAACAAAACUUUUCGUACUGCCAGGUCCUAUACCCGAGGUAGUAGACGAAUACCGGGAGCUGCAGAGCUUAAAUGCUGGAGCUGAACAGCUGAGUUGAUGAGGUGAGAGCAGAAGAACCUCAGGCUGAGGAGAGGAAGGAAGGGGAGGAAAGGAAAGAAACGAGUCCCAACGCUGGGCGAACCAUGACACCGGAGCGGUCCAGCUAUGGCAGAUGACUCCCAUUGGCUACGGAUGGCUCCAGUCCUGCCAAAGAGUCUGAACUCAUGUAGAUUUACAUGAUAACCUAACAUUUAUAUAGGAAGUACAUAAGUUGACUUGUAAAGGAACCCUCUUUCUGCAGUGAUUUUGGAUUAAAUGACCAUAAGAAGCUCUACCACACACUUUAGCCUCGUUUCCACUGAGUAUUCUGGUACGGUCUGGUAUUUUGACCUUUUCUAUUGUAAAAUAGACCCAAUAAACAGUUCUGAUGCCUACAUCUUGAGGGCCCCAUCUGUUGUGGGUAAUAGAAAAAUGGAACGUGGGGGUUGGGGCGGAGCCACUAUUGCCACCUGCUGAUUAAAACUGGACACAUCAGAUUUCAGUGUUUUUUUAAAACAAAGUCUUGGUUCUAUCAGCUGCAGUGCUGUCCUCCUGUUUUACCAGGUUGAUUUGAUGUGUGUGUCUUUUAAAAUGGUUUAUGAAUUUUUAACAAUUAUUUUUUGUUUUAUUUCUUGUAUUUUAUUCUCAUUUUACACAUAUUUAUAAUUGUAAAACAGAAAAAGCCCAGCUUGGGCAUGGGACUGCUAUUUACAGUAUGUCUAUGAUUUUAUAUAUGUCCUUGUUCAAUUAAUAAAUCCAAUUCAAUUCAAUAUUUUAGAAUAUUUAUAUUUUAGAAUAUUUUAAUUAUUUCC